UUUUUGAAAAAGGAGGAGUGACUUUUUAUAGGAAGAGCCUUGAGGAACUGGUGCAUUCUACCUCUCUUGAAGUCGUCUGAUCUAAUUUAAGCUCUGUCUUGGAAGAUAGAUGUUAGCUAAACACAACUUAUUGGCCUCGUUACAGGCCUGUGUGUGUGAAAUUCUGUGGCCUUCAAGUCCAGGUGAGGAGAUUCCCUCUCCAAAUACCAACCCAACAACUGCGGGUUCCUCCUGUGCCGGCUGGGUCUGAGCUGGAAAUGUUCUACAACACGUCAUAAAUACAACUGCAAAUCACGAGGAAUGCGUUGCCACAGAGAAAAACUUCACUAAAACGUCAGGCUCCCUCGCUGGCUGCGACGGUGGCCGCAGCGCCGUGCCACGGGCCUUUCAGUAACCAUCACCGUGAUGAAGAAGGAUGCAAGGAAAUCUGCAGGAUGUGCAUAGCUGACGACCUCAAGCAGCAGCACGAGCAGUGGGACAGAGGACCUUCUGUUAGGACAGGUACAUUAGAGAUCCUUGAUGAGGCGCGUGGUGGGAAAAGAGACAACAGAACCUGCCCGGUAAUGUCAGCAAGAGCAGGAGCUGCACAAAGGAGAGCUUGAUGCUGCAGAACUUCAGGUAAAAUGCAUUUGAGAGUGCGGGCAGGAACUUCAAAACCUGAAACUUCCCCAGUGCUGUAACGGGUUUGGAAUAAGCUGGGCCAGGAUCUCCAUAAGCAUGGGGCAAUAAGGAAAGUCCAACUGGGGCACUGUUGAAAGCUCUGCCAUCAUCCAAGUGUCUCCUUAUGAUCCAGGUCAGAUGGGACAAGAAUCAAACACCUACUGAAGUCAAAGCAUGAAUAUGUGAUUGACAUUGCUUAAAAUACAGAGAGUGGCUAAAUUCAGGUUAAAAUCAAACAUAGUCCCCCCUGAACAAUACGUGUCCGUCACUGCCAGUUAAUUGUGCUGCUGUAUAAAGCUGUCAGGAGCCCUUGGCUGAAAAGAAACAUUCAUCAGGAUCCAAAGUGAUGGACAAGAAGAGCAGCCUCACAAGUGGAAAAUUAAUGUUUCCUGUUUGGAUAAAUCCUCUCCACUUAUCCCAUUAUUCUAAGAGGUUUGUCUGGUCAAUCUUCAUUUCAUUUUGCUGGUAGGCCUUACACAGACUGCCGAGGUUCCCACUGCAGGAGUCCCUGGCGGAGCAAACAAAGUGCCAUAAACACUAUUAUACUCCAGUGCUAUGCUGGUAAUGGCUUUUGGAGUUUGGAUUCUUUGUGGAUUAUUCAAGGAAGGGAAGUGGGGAAU
Molecule: long non-coding RNA, 1280 nt
Filed under: Anser cygnoides (Swan goose)
Lineage: Eukaryota; Metazoa; Chordata; Aves; Anseriformes; Anatidae
Description: lncRNA (ENSACDG00005000339.1)
Source: RNAcentral